RNAcentral lists this ribosomal RNA (253 nucleotides) under uncultured bacterium. RNAcentral describes it as "partial 16S ribosomal RNA". It matches the Rfam family "Bacterial small subunit ribosomal RNA", at positions 524 to 776 of the family's 1533-position model. The record is from RNAcentral.
UACGUAGGGUGCAAGCGUUGUCCGGAAUCAUUGGGCGUAAAGCGCGCGUAGGCGGCCCGAUAAGUCCGCUGUAAAAGUCAACGGCUCAACUGGGGGGCGUCGUGCGAUACGGUCGGACUGGAGGCCAGUAGGGGGAUGCGGAAUUCCGGGUGUAGUGGUGGAAUGCGUAGAGAUCCGGAGGAACACCAGCGGCGAAGGCGGCAUCCUGGACUGGUCCUGACACUCAGGAGCGAAAGCGUGGGGAGCGAUCCGG